RNAcentral lists this non-coding RNA (26 nucleotides) under Rattus norvegicus (Norway rat). Lineage: Eukaryota; Metazoa; Chordata; Mammalia; Rodentia; Muridae. The record is from RNAcentral.
UGACUCAGUUCUCCGCACAACCGUUC